Molecule: long non-coding RNA, 645 nt
Filed under: Medicago truncatula (barrel medic)
Lineage: Eukaryota; Viridiplantae; Streptophyta; Magnoliopsida; Fabales; Fabaceae
Description: long non-coding RNA (MTRU_LNC006563)
Source: RNAcentral
CCUUUAGCAUUCACACCAUUUGUGCCAGCAUUGGUAUUUCCAUUAGCUGCUUCCACAGAAAGAGGCUUUUGAUCAGCAGCUACAGAUGUGGAAUUAUCACCCUGAGGAUGGGCAGCAGAAGUUGGCGUGAAUGGCCCACUGGUUGGUGUCAACGGCUGAAAAAAGGGAGGAUACUGAUAGUGUUGAGGGCCAUACAACUGACCAUCAUUUCCCAUGGUUGGAACUGGAGAACCAGCUGGAGAGUAGGGAGCAUAGGGUGCAUAUCCAUAUCCAUGGUGAUACACCAGAGACGACCCAUUAUCCCCAUAGACUCCCUGAAAACACCAAGUAAAUAACGUAAAUAAAUAAAACAUAGGCAACAGCGUAAAACCUGACUAAAUUUAAGGGGGAAAAACUAAUACUUACAGAAGUCAAAUCAACUCCAUCAGCAUUCAAAUAUUCCCACUCACUGCCAGUCCCAUCAUAACCUACAACAGACACACAUAUCAGAUCACAUGAAAUUGCAAUAUCCAUUAUACAUAAUGUUCAUAGGAUCAAUACAUAAACUUACCACCAUAAUAAUACGAAGGGUAUCCAUUUGGAAGAUAGCACAUGGCGGGAUCCAUAAAGUCCUGCAACACAGGGGUUACGGAGCGUUCAUACGAC